GAUCAUGGCUCAGGACGAACGCUGGCGGCGUGCUUAACACAUGCAAGUCGAACGAGAAUCCACUGAAAGAGUUUUCGGACAAUGGAAGUAGAGGAAAGUGGCGGACGGGUGAGUAACGCGUGAGGAACCUGCCUUGAAGAGGGGGGACAACAGUUGGAAACGACUGCUAAUACCGCAUGACGCAUAGAGGUCGCAUGAUCUUUAUGCCAAGAUUUAUUCGCUUCAAGAAUGGCCUCGCG
This 239-nucleotide ribosomal RNA is filed under the name uncultured bacterium. RNAcentral's name for it is "partial 16S ribosomal RNA". It matches the Rfam family "Bacterial small subunit ribosomal RNA", at positions 15 to 235 of the family's 1533-position model. The record is from RNAcentral.